CCGCGUUUCAUCAGCCGAGCGCCCCCCCGGGACGCCGGAAGGAGCCUCCGCGCGGAGCCGACCACGUGCACGGCAUCUUGGGGCACGGGUUCCCGCCGUCUCCCCACUGUAAAGGAGCGGCUUACUCCAGAGGUCCAGCCCCCUCACACACAAUCACGGAACCCGUGGAUGAGGCAGUAUUUGAGACCAGAAGUUUAUUGGGGACUUGGGUUUGGUUUUUGUUUGGUUGGUUUUGUCGUUGUUUUUAGAGUCGGGGGUUUCGCUGUGUUGCCCAGGCUGCUAUCGGACUCCUGACCUCAAGCGAUCCUCUUGCUUGGCCUCCCAAAGUGUUGGGAUUACAGGCGUGAGCCACCGCACCUGGCCGGGGACUUGUUUCUAAUGGAAAAUUGUGUAUGUGCUGUAUUGUUAAGAGCAUUGGUUUGGGGUCAGACUAGGCUGUGAUUCGGGUCUCUCCACUUCUUAUUAUCGUCUUUGGUAAAUUAUUUAACCUCUUUGUGCCUUCGUUUUCUGUAAAAAGCAGAUAAUUAUAGCUACUUCAUGAGGUCGUGUGAAGAUUUAAUGAGAUAGUGUGUGUGAAAUGUUCACAGCUACCAGACACAUACUCACUCGUGUUCCCAAUUGCUAUACUCACAAGGGCUCACUCCCAUCGCCAUCCUUCGUAAUUUCAAAGGGUCUACGGUUAAAAAUCUCCCUGAACCACUGGCCAAAUCUUUCAAUAAAGAAUGUGCUUAACCUGCCUCUUAAGACCCAUGUAUUUGCACAAGAAGGAAAAAAAAAACCAGAAAAAAAAGCAAAACUAGAGCUGCCUGCCUGUGCUGAAGCUUUUUCAGUAAUUUCAGAGCCACUGAAGUGAUGUGAGAUCAGUUGACAAGAGAAAAACACUCUGAGAUCUGCCAGAAUGACCCUCAAGGGGAGAAAAAUAAUUAAACAGGUGGAAAAACAAGGAACACGCAAGACUGAUCAAAGCGUUUCUUUUCUGUUGAACAGCUUUUGCUGACUUCUGGUACCAUCAGUUUUCUUGAGUACAAUAAAGACCAACAAAUGCAGAAUGUUAGUUACGGGCCUUACUCAAUCAGGCUCAAAGGCUUUACUGGGGUUACAGGAAGCCAAGUACCCAGUCCACUAAUGUCCUGGGAGAAAAGCCUGAAGGCAGAGCAUGGUAGGUUUUCUCUUGCAGCCUGCAGGCUGAUCUGAUGGGACUUCAAUUCUGUCACUUCCUUGCUCUGUGACAUUGAACAUUCUGUAAGCCUCUGGGCCUCAGCUUUCUCAUCCAUGGAAGUGGGAUUACAGUGUCUAACCUGCAGGGCUGCUGUGUGUUUAUAUAUGUGCAUAGAACAUAAUGGCCUUCCCUUGAUAGAAGCAGAGAUUGGACAUGUGGCCUCUGACAAGUUACUUUUUUUUUUCUACAAGUUUCCCUCUCCUCUCCCCCAUUCAGAAAGUGGAAGGGGUAAUUCUUCAGGGAAUUUGUGAGAUGUUACCACAAGGUUACACAAUGGCUUGCUGUAAACUAUUUUAUGUCUUUUUUUUUUUUUUUUUUUUGAGACGGAGUCUUGCUCUGUCACUCAGGCUGGAGUGCAGUGGUGCGAUCUCGAUCUCAGCUCACUGCAACCUCCAACUCCCAGGCUCAAGCGAUUCUCAUGCCUCAGCAUCCUGAGUAGCUGGGACUACAGGUGCACACCACCACGCCCCAGUAAAUUUUUUGUAUUUUCAGUAGAGACAGGGUUUCGCUAUGUUGGCCAGGCUCGUCUCGAACUCCUGGCCUCAAAUGAUCCACCAGCCUCGGCCUCCCAAAGUGCUGGGAUUACAGGUGUGAGCCAUAUUUUAUGCCUUUUAUCAGGGCAUCCUCUGUAGGUUUACAUGACAUAAAAUUGCCCAGAGGGCAACUGAAGAGCAUCACUCUACAAUUUGGGAGAGGUAAAGGGAAAAGAAUCAGAUGGGUAAGAUACAUAAAAGGUAUAUAGCUAUGAAGUUGUUCAAUACUCAGUACACACCGUGGUUAAACACAGAUGCAAAAGCCGGAUUGCAAGUUUGAAUCUUGGCUCCAUCACUGCACAUCCUUGGGCUGGUUCCUUAACCUCUCUCAGUCUCAUAUCCCAUAAAAAAAAAAAAAGAAUUAAAUUAGUCAAUAUAAAUGUAAAAGUUCUUACAACUAGCUGGCACAUAGAAAGCUGUUAGCAGGCAGGGCAUGGUGGCUCACAUCCAUAAUCCCAGCACUUUGGG
This 2220-nucleotide long non-coding RNA is filed under the name Homo sapiens (human). RNAcentral describes it as "HSALNT0154331". Lineage: Eukaryota; Metazoa; Chordata; Mammalia; Primates; Hominidae. The record is from RNAcentral.